This is a long non-coding RNA of Monomorium pharaonis (pharaoh ant), 2321 nucleotides long. RefSeq lists it as uncharacterized. NCBI's taxonomy places the organism in Eukaryota, Metazoa, Arthropoda, Insecta, Hymenoptera, Formicidae. The transcript has 4 exons. The record is from RefSeq and is a predicted model, not a curated record.
ACUUAAUUUUAUCGUUUAUCGUUAAUUUUACAGGAACUGCACAUAUGACUUAAAGACGUCAGAGUUGAAAUAAGCAUUCGAUUUUAAUUACAAAAAUGCUUGAGUUUAACAUAAAAUAUUUUAUGGCAGAUUUACUUUGUCUAAAUCUCUACUUAUCAAGGUCUUGCAAUUUCAUUCUUAAUGAAAUGAAGUUCACUCUGUCGUUCCUCUAAAAAUUCAAUUAGAAAAUAAAACAAGAGCGUGAUGUUUUAGUUUGAAAUAAUGAAUGAAAGGAAGCAAUGCAUUAAAAUGUGUACGCUGUCGCAUAAUUUGAUCCAAUAGGAACACGUUCCUCCGAGAUUAGAUUUACAGAAACUCUGUUUGCCAAUGAAUCUAUUACUUCUAUUACUUCUGACGAAUAAGUAUACUACAGUAUACACUACGCUGAAUAUAGGAAUAUGCUUUUCCUUUUCAUAGAUAUGCAAGAAGAUUAUUUUGCUAAUUUUGAGCAAAAGUAAAACGUUUAAUAGAUAGAAUACACGAAAUUGUUAUAAUCGCUAACGGCAGGCCGUUAGAAGAGAUCGACAAUUUUAUCAAUGAUGAGGAGAGAUGCUAAUAUCGUGAGACAGAAUAAGAAGGGACGCCAAGACAUUAACCUAUCGACUGCGCCGAAUCUAGUCCUGCCGGUGGACAACGCGACCGCUAGUUCCGGCGUUCUCUUUAAGGCCGCUCGAACACUCUGCAAAACUCCGUUUCGCUUUGUUAUUUUCUGAAGUAUAACAGGAGAUUGAUCGUCGCGCAGCAACAGUAUCAGCAUUUCAAGCAAGAGAGGUAGGAAGGAGCUGAAUCGUUUCUCUGCGAUUCCUGUCGCAUGGACAAUACUGUCUUCGUUACACGUUCUUAUCUAGAUAAUAUUUUGUAUCGAAGGAUCACACGGUUUCCUGAAUUUUUAAAGGAAAGAGCAAGGAUAGUUAACAAUUCUUAAGAAUGUUGCUGCGAAAGUUUGACUUCGAGAUAGCUUUGCAUACAAGAUAGAUAUACAUAUAUAUAUAUCUUGCAAUUUUUCACAUAAUUGCAGUUAAAAUAAAUUUUAAAGUACAUUUGAAAGAUUUAAUUUUGGCCUUUGUUAAUAGCACAAAAUACAAAGUGCUAGAAAUUAUUUUCCAUUUUCAUAGAUUAAUGAGAAAUAUAGCCAAGAAAAGACAAAAAAGAAACUAAAUUGAAAAAAUAUAAGGUGCUCUUUUUUAAUCUUUUUUAUGAACUUUUGUGUAUUGAACGAUUAAAUGCAUUUUUACUUUUUAUGUACGUAUUGUCUUUAAACUUCUCAAUGAAAAAAAUAAGGAGAGAUCUAUACCAUGACUAACGAUCGAUUAAUUAUCGGCUGAUUGUUUUGAAUCGCAACACAAUAUGUCAUUUCCUGAAGGAAAAAAGAUUCGAUUUGAUAAAGAUUAACAAAUUAUUACAAAUUAUUAUCGCUACAUCUUAGGUAUUAAGCGAUGCGACUGCAGUUUUGUGUGCAUAUGUAUAGCAUAACAUGUAAAGCACACCCAUGAUUACAUAUAUAUAUAAUUAUAAUGAUAUAUUAAUGAUAAUAAUAACAAUAAUGAUAAUGUUUUAUACUAGGCUUGGAAAAUAUUUGAGAAAAACAUUUUGUACUUAUUGUUAUAUUAUGCGCUAAAAUUAAUUAGGUUCGAGGCUAUUUACCAUAUAAUUAUGAUUACGCUUAAAAAUAAUUAAUUAAGUUAACGAUUUGAGUAAGUGGGCUAAACACGCGUUUUUUUUUAAACGUAAGAAAGCUUUACCGAACGCCUAAAUGCACAAAUACUAAUUGCACUUUAUUUAUCUUGCCAUAUCGCGACGAAUGACAUAACAUCUAUUUUUGCAUCUCGUAAUCCUUUGGAAAUUGUAUCUUCGUAUAAUGACUAUAGGCACUACACGACAUAUAUCGUCUCGAUUUACGUUACAAUUAUAACGGAUGGUCCGUGGAAAGCGGAUAACUAUGUGCUCAGAAAUUUAUUCUCAAUUGAAUUUUUUACGUUAAGCGGUCCUUAAACGAUUAUUAAUAUUUUACGAUAAUAUUGUAGAAUAUUCUUCUAGAUUAUUUAAAACAAAUUCAAUAUAGUCUCCAAAUAAUCAAUAAUAUUGUGCAAUAUUCCAAUAUUAUGCAGUAAUAUUAAGCUUUAUUCUAGGGGCCGCUUUAGAAAAAUCAUAUUUUAGGGACACUGUAUAAACAUAUGUAAACCGCACAAUACGUACAGUGUGGAUCAAUAGUAGUCAUCUUUAAAAAUGGAUUAAAAUUUUAAGAGAGAGAGAAAGAGAGAGUGUGUGUGUGUGUGUGUGUG